UCACUUGUUAACCUCAGAAAGGAUUGAUCCGGGAAAUAGAGAUCAAUCGGAGUUUAGAAGAGAAAGAGUAGAAAAUAGGAAAGAGAGUGUUUUGAUGUCGAGGACUAACAUAGCCUUCUUUAAUUACGGUGAUCACAAGAUAAGGAUUACAAUGGAUAAUGAAAUGCUUAAAUAUUCUAAACACACGUGAGUGACAUAUCACUCAAUUAUUAAUUACAUAAAGAAAUACUCCUGCUGAAGAAUAGUCUGUACUACUUCACUCCUCAUCUUCAAGUCCCUUGCUCUCUUCUUCAUCAUUACCAAUGGAACUCUAAGCUUACCAUCUCUCCUCCCAAUAGCGAGAAACUCUCUCUCCAUCUUCUCCUUCUUCUUCUUCUUAAUCUCUUUUUCAUCUUCUUUGUUUUCUUUGUCUUCCUUUCUUCUUAUUGUUCUUCUUCCAGUUCUUUCUGAUUAAUGCUACUAAUCAUAAAACCACCGUGAUCCUGAUUGUUGAUGUACAUAUUCAGUUCCGAAAUCCAUUUCUCAUGUAGUCUCCUUACCAGUUUGAUAGUUACCGUGAAUCGUUUUGGCUUAUUGCAGAAAUAAAAUGGCUGACGAGUGUGAAUUUCAAUGGAGAACCAGCGAGCGAUUUACUUUUAGCAACAUGGUAUGCGUCUGAAAUCAUCUAGAGUUUUCUUCUAUCGAUUCUUAAUCGUGCCUGCCAACAUUGAUUUAGAUGGGAUACUGAUGCGAAAGAUCUGUUUAAAACAUAGAAUUUGAGUAAUCGGCUUCCAGAACGUUUGUGAUACUUUGAUUAUUUCAAGCUAUUCUAGAAAUUAAAGACCUUUGGUGUCUAUUUUAGUGGAUUGUUAAGCUCUUAGGCUACCGCAAACCAGAAAAAAAAAUCACAUUAAUUCAUACCUUGAAAAACAAAAAAAAAAGAGCAAAAGCCAAAGAAGACAUUUAAUAAUACUAGGUAUUUGGCAUGCCCCUUGCACGGACAAAAAGAUUUCAUUAAUUAAACACAUUAUAGGUAGAUUAUAAAAUUAAUUAUUAAUAAUAAAUAAAAAAUAUAAAAAAAAUGUGAAACAUAUGUUCAACAAACAAAAAAACAUAAAAAAUAAUAAUAUCUAUCAAUAUAAACUAACGAAAACCAAUUAUUGUAUCAAAACUACAAAGAUGAUUAAAAUAAGACAAAUGACCGAUUUAAAAAAUAUCCUAAAACAUUUUUUAUAUACAACAUUGAUAAUCUUCUACUGUGACUUUCCUUUUAGAUUUAUAAUUAAAAAUCUUGAGUUCUUUUUUCAAUAUAACCCUUAAUUCUUCGUUCUCCCUAGCCAGAAAUCUUUUUCAGUUCUAUGGGUAUUGUUUUUAUUGGUUCUUAUCUGAUAACACCGUAUUUUGAACAAUUUUAUGGAUGAUUCUAAGAUUUUAUUCAGGUUUUUUAACUUAGUAUUCAAUGGUUUUCAAGUGAUUUCUAUGUUUUAGAGUUUCAAAAGAGUUUUCAGGAUAUUUGGACAAAAAGAAUGCAAUUGGAACAAAAAUACAACUUUGGAUAAAUUAGGCAGUCAGAAAUUUGGUAACAAAUGGAGACUUUCCCACCGUCUGAUCAUCCCCAAAUUUGGACAAAAGAUAUAGCAGAAAACUAGCUUUCCAAUGCAAUUAGAAUCGAAGCAAUCCAACCGUUGGAUCUCCAGAUAUGGUCAAUGCACAGAAGACAAAUCAACACAGUCGGAAGCUGACCCGUGCCCAAAGCAUAAUACACCGUGGCUGCGACAUUAUAGACCGCUGGGAGCCUAUUUCCGAGCCUUAGAAACCCAUUUUAAAGCCUAGGUCAUUCCUGUCAUUAUUCCUGAAAACCCUAGACAUUCCUGAAGACUCAAGAAACUAUAUAUACCUCUUUUAAAUCAUUUAGAAGGUGUGCCAUUUUUUGUCAAGAGUCCUAGAGAGAGCUGUUACCCGUGAAGAGGAUCCACCAAGAGGGGCACCAUUGGCCCUCCUUCAGCCUGUUCUUCGUUUCUGACCUUUGUUUUAUUUUAGUUCUCUACGUUUUAAAGACACCACCAAAAUCCCUACAAAAAUCGCAUGGUUCUAAACUUCCUUACUUCACAUUUCUUUCGAAGGCUUUUACAGGAAAAGAUUCUCCUUCUCUUUGGAUUCGAUCCCUAAGUAUUACAAUCGAUCAGCUGUGCACUUGCGGCUAUUAAUUCCAUUUAGGGUAAAACUAAAAAACUGAAUGUCAGGUCGCUUGAGAGUCAAGUACUGCAGUUUACCUGUAAUGCUUUGGAAGUAUGUUGACUCAGAGAUUAACUCUGUGUUGCAGAACGCUUCAUCGAGUCAUAUUGGAAGUGGUGUCGGCAUUGGUUUUGCGCUGGCCAUGCCUGCUUCUUCCAAAAUUUUGUCUGCAUAUGUUAACUUGUUGAGAAAGAGUCCAUCAGGAUGAUCUUUAAUUGGAAUACCAAGGAAAUAUGUAGGAGCUCCUAGAUUCUUCAUAGAGAACUUGGUGCUGAGUUCUCGGAUCAGAAUGUUAACAAGGUCCGGUGAGCUACCUGUCAGAAGAACAUCAUCAACAUAGAGCAACAGGUAUAAAGUAUGCCCUCUACACUGAAAUAUGAAGAGAGAAGGAUCAACAUUGCUACAAGUAAAACCAAAUUCAAGAAGAAAAAUUGUGAACUUGUUGAAACAGGCCCUUGGUGCUUGUUUAAGUCCAUGACGAGUCUUGUGUAAUUUGCACACAUGGUUAGAAUAACCAGGGUUAACAAAUCCUGGAGUUUGCUCCAUAAAAACCUUUUCGUGAAUCUCUCCAUGGAGGAAGACAUUUUUCACAUCAAGAUGGGUUAUCGACCAUUCUUUUGCAACUACAACACCAGGAACUAUUCUUAUGGUAGAGGUUCUCACCACAGGACUAAAGGUUUUCACAUAAUCAACUCCUUUUUAUAGCAAAUCCCUUGGCAAUCAGGUGAGCUUUGCGUUUGUCAACACUCCUGUCUGCUUUUUGUUUUCCUGUAAAGAUCCACCCACAACCAAGGACAUGCAUAUCUGGAUGAAAGGGAACAAGAGACCAUGUACUGUUUUGAUCUUGAGCAGCCAUUUCCUCAUUGCAUGCAUCAGUCCAUCCAUCAUGUUUUAGAGCUUUCUUGAUAGUCUUAGGAUGGCAAGAAUAUCAGUUCUCGUAAACAGAAUAUAUCUGUGGUUCUGUUUGCGGAUUCCACUCUGCAGGAGAGUCCUCAUGGGGUGAGUGCGAGAAACCGCAGGAUUUUUGAUGAACAACUUUAUCUGGAACCACCUCUGAGAGACGUUUUCCAUCUUCAUUGUAGUAUUCACCAGCCUCAGUACAAUGUUGGUCUUCUGCAUUAGAAGAGCUGUCAUGAUCACUAACCAUGCCAAUGUUGAUCUUUGGUACGUAGAGCAGAAGGGAUGUUUGGUAGGAGUGUUGGUGGAGGCAGAGAUAGUUGCCAAGCUUUGAGCAGAAGAGUGGAGUAUGGAUCCACAAAAUCCUUAUACCUAUCUGUAAACUGAAAUACAUCUUCAUCAAAAAUAACAUGUUGCCAGUAUGUGGAUAUAAGCAUCAGUAUCCUUUGUAGUGAGAAUGAUAGCCAAGGAAUAUGCAUUGAAGAGACCGAGAAUCAAACUUAUGUGUAGCAUAGGGUCGAAGACAUGGGUAGCAAGCUGAACCAAAGACACGUAGGAAUAAGUACUCUGGUUUUUGGCUGUGCAGAGCUACAAAUGAACUUGUAAACUGUGGAUAGGUUGCUGGAAGCAGAUUACUCACAAAUUUUGCAGUGUAAAAAGCUUCAACCAAAUACUUGAAAGGUGUCUUGCUCUGAAAUAUCAUGGCAAGAGCAAGUUCAGUCAGAUGGCGAUGCUUAUGUUCUGCAAGGCUGUUUUGUUGCGGUGUGUAAAGGCAUGAGAGUUGAUGGCUUAUCCCAUGAUCUACCAAGUUUUUUCUGAAAAUGUUGCUUGUAUACUCACCUCCCCCAUCACUUUGAAAUAUUUUGAGUUUCUUGUUAAGCUGAUUUCAACUUGUUUUUGGAAUGCAACAAACACUUUGUAGAAAUCAGACUUGGAUUUUAGUGGAAACAACUAUGAAUACCGAGAGAAAUUAUCCACAAAUAUAGCAUAAUAUUUGAAUCCCUGAAUAGAUAUAACAGGUGAUGGACCCUAGAGAUCUCAAUGCAUACAAUCUAGGGAUGCCAAUGCUCUAGAAAAAGAAGAAAAAACGGCAACUUAGAACUUUUUCCCAUCUGACAAGACUUACAAACAGUAGACGAUAUGUAUUUAUUACUAGAUAUCUCCUUUUAGGUCUUCAAAUGCUUAAGAAUUUGAAAGUUUGCAUGCCCUAGACGCCUGUGCCACACCAGGUCACUUGCAGUCACAUGUCGAUUGGAGUCGAAAGCAAUAAAUUCUGAGUUCUUCAUCACAUAAAGGUUAUCAUGUCUGGGUCCUUUGGUCACCAUUUUCUGAGUUGGUAAGUCAAUCACACAUACCCGGUUAGCUAAAAAAAAACACAGCAGGGAUAGUCAUCACAUAACUUCGAGAUUGAUAAUAGAGACUUUUGUAUUUGGGGACAAACCAAGACAUCAAGUAGAGGGAUACUACCUUGAGGAGUAGUGAUGAUCGUGGAGCCAACAUGGGUAAUCGGGAGCUGCUGACCAUUAUCAACAAGAACACUUUCUAGCCCAUGAUAUGGAGUGGUGUUCUGAAGAGAUGUAGCUGAAGCAGUGAUGUGAGCUGUUGCACCUGAGUCGGGGUACCACUCCUGUCUCGUAGUAUCAUACACCUGAAGAACAGCAAGAGCCUGUGGAACAUCAUGACUCUGAUAGGCAUGGUCAAAGCAGUUCCAGCAUUUGAGAGCAGAGUGACCAACAUGGCCACAGAUUUGGCACACAUGACGAGAGGUAUUCUCUCGGUUUGACUGAGAUGGCUUCCAGCCUGAGGUAUUCACCAGUUCCGAGAAUCCUCUGCCUCUAUUGCCACGGCCUCUCUGACUAGUGUUGUCGUUGCAUUGAGUCUGAAAGACCGAGAAUGGAGUUAUAUCUGCAGGAGUCUCAUAGGAAUUCAGGUGGACAUUGAAUACAGAGAUUUCAGAAACCACGUCUCCAAAAUUGGGUAUUGGAAAACAUGACAUGGAGCUUUGAACGGCGGUGGAGGUAAGGUUAUAUUCCCGAGUUAACCUGUUGAGAAAAGUAAAGAUCUUCAAAGAUUCGUCAACAGGUUUGCCAAUAGAACUGAGCUGAUCACAGAUAGCUCGAAACUCAUGCACAUAGAUCUGAAACUCCUUGUCACAGGUGGAGAGAAGUUGGAGACGACGUCGGAGGUCGAACUCACGGACCACCGAACUUUUGUUGAAGUUAUCAGCUAGAGAGAGCCACACAUCGUGAGAUGUGGCUAAAUCAUGGACAUAAUCAAGGACUUUGUCAAACAGAGUACCAAAAAUCCAGGACUUGAUGAGCUCGUCAGCACAAAGCCAAGCUUCAUACGCCGGAUUUGGGGAGACAAUGGCUUCGUUUCUGAUAUUGACAGUGACAGUGGCUGCCGGAAUGGUCACUUGACCGUUGACAAAUCCAAGCAGCCUCUGGGUACGGAUAAGAGACUUGAACUGGAUUUUCCAGAGAAGAUAGUUGAUGUCAUUUAGCUUCUGAGUAACAGAGCUUGUAACAUGACUACUCGAAGGAAAAUGGUAAGGAUCUUGAGCUUCUGCCAUGACAUCGACCGGUUAGGGUUUAGAAGGGCUCUGAUACCAUAAUAGAAAGAGAAAGAGAGAUUGUAAAGUUUGAUAACACUCGAAAGUUUAACAUUCAUCAAACAACUCUUACAACUUAUAUAGAGCCUUAGCUCAGAUCAUUCUAGAAACCCUAAAAACAUGGUUCAAUUACAGCCACUAGUUACAAGUUAACAAUGGUUUGAAUUUGUUGAGAAGGACCACUUCUCCAGCUGGCUUCUGCAUCUUCAUGACCGUACUCUGUUCUUGUCGCAGAGACACUCCACUUUGUUGACUGUGUAUUGGACUUUUUCAGGUUGGUUUCUUCUGGCCCAAUAAUCCUUUUUAGCUUGUGUCUUCUUUCUGGCUCAUCUGAUGUUUGAACAGAGUAUGUUGACUUUCAUCAACUUCUCCUUUUUGUACAAAGUUUCUGAUCAGAAUCAAAAUCAAAGAACUCAAUUUCAUUGAUUUUUUUUUGUUACUUUGAAUCUCCAAUCAGAUUUGAAACCAUUCAUCAGUAUCAACAGUGUGAUAUCGUUCCUUACUCCGAAAGCUCUUUUCUCAAGUAACCCCGAAAGCUCCUUUCUCAAAUGACUCCAAAAGCUCCUUUCUCGUUCUCGGUUUGUAAGAUAUUUUACUCUAAUCCUUCAUCAGUAUUUCUUAAAUUUUGUUGUGCGUAUGAUGAAACAGCUUGUUUUCUAUUAGUAUCCAAAAUUUUAAAAAAAAAUUAGAUGAUUGAUUUUUUAAUACUUAAAAGUUUCUAAAUGUAUUGUGCUAUUGUCUUCAAUAUUAUCAUCAACAUUAACAUUAGUAGCUAUAAUUUAUUAUAAUUUUUGGUACUACUAAAUGUAUAUAUUUUUACAUUGAUAAUUCAGUCUAUAAUGAACAAAUAUUCUACAGUUAAUAACUAUUAUAUAUUAUAAUUGCGAAUGUGACUGUUAAGAUUGUGUACACAAUUAUACAAAUAGAUUUGUUAAAAUUUCUAAAUAUGAUAUCAUUUUGAAAAAAAAAUUUAAAAAUAUGAACGAAAACAAUUUUUCUCUAUAAAAUAAUAUAUAGAUAAAUAAAUAUCACGAUAAAUUAAUAAAAUAUUAUAAUCCUGACAUUAUUGAUUUAUAGAAGUUUUAUUGUAUGUAUUUAUAAAUUAGUUUGACACAUAAAUUAGUUUGAAAAAAUAUUCUACAGUUAAUAACUAUUAUAUAUUAUAAUUGCGAAUGUGACUGUUAAGAUUGUGUACACAAUUAUACAAAUAGAUUUGUUAAAAUUUCUAAAUAUGAUAUCAUUUGAAAAAAAAAUUUAAAAAUAUGAACGAAAACAAUUUUUCUCUAUAAAAUAAUAUGUAGAUAAAUAAAUAUCACGAUAAAUUAAUAAAAUAUUAUAAUUCUGACAUUAUUAAUUUAUAGAAGUUUUAUUGUAUGUAUUUAUAAUCUUAUCUUAUACAGAUGAGUGCGCUCAAUAUGAGUUAGACACAUAUAUAGGAUAACUAUGACUUAUGAGAUCAUGACAUGUGUUAUCGUUAAUAUACAUUGUAACAUAUAUCAAUAUAAUAAUAUAAAAUUUUCAUUUUUGAUUAUUUACUUUAAAAAAGGAUAAAAUAAAAUAUAUUUUUAAAAGGUAAAUUAUUAAACAAAAAGGUAAAGUAAGUUAAAAAAAAACAGAAAUUAUGUUUUUUGAACCUUGUUAAAUUAAAAAAAAAAAUUGAGAAAUACCAGUAACCAAUCAAAAAGUUAUUUAAAAAUACUAUUAUUUUAAUAACAUAUUUACCUUUUCACUCUAAUUAGAGAUGUAAAAUUCACCUGAAGAGGCAGAAGAUUAUGCAGUUUUGCAUCUCACCGAAGUUUUGAUUUUGUUGCAAAUAUCGAAUGAAUUUGUUAAGUCCGCCGGAAAUUGGAUCUGAUUGCUUUUUCGGUCGGAUAGUCUCUUUUUGCUCUCUUUCUCUUCUUCUAUUUCGCUAUGAUUAUGACUAUGACUAUCUGUGUACACCGUAACCGACUGAGAUGGAAGAACAAUGUUAAGGUUGACAAUAGAUAUCGAAUCACCGUCACUAAAAUAGCUCAAUAUCAAAUCUGUAAAACAGUCUCUUGAUCAUCGUUUAAAAUAUAGUUUUAAAACCAAGUGAACUUUGUGAUUUUGUUAUGUUUCUUUGGUCAUAUUAGUGGAGAUUAUGUUAUUAGAAUAAUUUUUUAUCAGAUCUAUGUAUAAUUUUGAGUAAUUCUAAGUUUUUAAUUGUGAAUUAUAAAACAUAAGAUGUAAAUAAUUUAACGAGAUCUAAAUUUAUAUUAUAAUUAUACAGAGCUAGUAAUCAAUUUGAAAGUCUAAAUACAUUUUCCCCCGCAUAAUCCCAUAUUUCAUCGUUUCCCCAAUUAAUUUAAUCACACAAAUAAAUUCACUUCUAUAUUUAUCAAUAUGCAGAUUUCAUCAUAUUUUGCAGCUUUUAUUUAAUUAGGUGAAAACUCGCACGUAACGUGCAACCUUUUUUUUAACUAUUUUAAAUUUAUAUAUUUUGUAUUUUCUUAAACAAAUAUAAUCAUAUUAUGUAUCAGUAUAUUAUUAUAAAUUAAUGGGAAACCGACGUAUUUCUCCCUCAGAAGUAUGAUAUAGUAACAGAUCUACCAAAACUUUCAACCUCGUCUUAGAUCCCUUUAUUUUAAAAGUUAAUAACGUAUAUCCCCCUAAUCGUAAAAUUUAAAACAUAUUUACCCACUAAAUAAAAGUUUGAAACUAAAAACUAUCUAAACCACAAUUUUAUUCGGUUUACUGUUAACAGAAAAAAAUUAACCACUUAAAACCAAACAUAAAUUCGAUGAAAAUUGAUAAACCAAAUUAUGACCGGAUUCAAACAAGUAAACCGAAAUGAAACCAACCUAAAAACUAAACCCAAAAAUCCCCAAAGUAAACCCAAAUCCCUAAUUCAAAUAUCUAAAAGAAUUUUCUACUUCUUAAUCCAAACCUCAAAUAUGGAAUCUCACUCUUUGUCGUUUCCGCAGGAACGUUUCCUGCGUGCCCGUUAAAUUGUUUGAACCAAUUUCUGUUUCGUGAAUUAAGACUCCAUCUCCAACAUCAUUUUGAAAUAUAUUUCGCAGCUUUUGCUUCAUCCCUUGAGAAUUUUGUGUUUCUUAUUCAAGUUAUUGUAUAUGUAUGAAGGAAAGAUGUUUAAACACUAUUGUAAGAACUGGGUUUAAAGUGCGAAGAACAAGUUUUGCAUUUCUCAAACAUACUCAAACAAAAUUAAUACAAUUUUGACUCUAAUCAAAGGCUCUCUAUACACAACAAACGUAACUCAAUAUCAUAGAAGAGAAGAAUUUUUUUUUUUUUUUGCUUUCAACUACCCAAUUUGAAAACAUCAACAAAGAUACCAAAAAAAACAGCAGCUUUCCAGAAGUUUUUUUUUUUUUUCGACGCUUUCCAGAAGUUUAUAAACACAACAAAAGACUGUAACUUCCCAGACAACAUUGAAUAAGAUGGCAUCUAUAAGCAUACUGAUUCCUUCAACGAGGUCUCACCACCACGAAUCGUCGUCGCUGCAGUCAGCAGCUGAAGCUUUAGGGAGCGAAGGGGAAUAUCGGACGGUCGUAGUAAGCCUUCUGCGAGUGACUUUUCGGCAAACGUGAAGAGAAAUUUUAGAGCAAAGGGGAAGAUCGACGCCAAUCUAACGCAGUUUAAUGGAAGAGCCAUGUGAGAGAAAGAAAGAGACAGAGGGCCUGUGAGUUGGAGAAAUAGAGACUGUUAAUUUUUUCCUUUCUUUCGUGGUGGAGUCAGGCGUGAAGCAAUCUGGGAGCUUGAUUUUAGGUAUGUGAUUGAAUCCUGUUUCUCUAGUCAUGAUUGAUUGGGGAAAUCUAUGCUGCGAUGGGGGUCCUGCUGCGAUUAAUGAUUACGGGUGAAGAAGAAGAAGAAUAAUGGGUCAGGUUUGAUGUCGACUCGGGUCAGGUUUGGGGAUCAAAAUUUAAUUUGGGCCGGUUUUUAAUUCGAUUUGAUAUCGGUAGAAUGGUUUUAUAUCUGGUUAAAUAUUUUAACCAUUUAAACCAUAAAUAUGUUUUAAACUUUCUAAUUAGGUAGAAAUAGGUUUUUAACUUUCAAAAU
This 9760-nucleotide long non-coding RNA is filed under the name Eutrema salsugineum. RNAcentral describes it as "long non-coding RNA (ESAL_LNC001419)". The record is from RNAcentral. Lineage: Eukaryota; Viridiplantae; Streptophyta; Magnoliopsida; Brassicales; Brassicaceae.